RNAcentral lists this ribosomal RNA (486 nucleotides) under uncultured bacterium. RNAcentral describes it as "bacterial SSU rRNA". It matches the Rfam family "Bacterial small subunit ribosomal RNA", at positions 355 to 859 of the family's 1533-position model. The record is from RNAcentral.
UGGGGAAUAUUGGACAAUGGGCGCAAGCCUGAUCCAGCCAUGCCGCGUGAGUGAUGAAGGCCUUAGGGUUGUAAAGCUCUUUCGCCAGGGACGAUAAUGACGGUACCUGGAUAAGAAGCCCCGGCUAACUUCGUGCCAGCAGCCGCGGUAAUACGAAGGGGGCUAGCGUUGUUCGGAAUCACUGGGCGUAAAGCGCAUGUAGGCGGAUCGCUAAGUCAGGGGUGAAAUCCCGAGGCUCAACCUCGGAACUGCCUUUGAUACUGGCGAUCUUGAGUCCGGGAGAGGUGAGUGGAACUCCGAGUGUAGAGGUGAAAUUCGUAGAUAUUCGGAAGAACACCAGUGGCGAAGGCGGCUCACUGGCCCGGUACUGACGCUGAGAUGCGAAAGCGUGGGGAGCAAACAGGAUUAGAUACCCUGGUAGUCCACGCUGUAAACGAUGGAUGCUAGCCGUCAGCCAGCAUGCUGGUUGGUGGCGCAGCUAACGCA